Molecule: long non-coding RNA, 541 nt
Organism: Thrips palmi
Lineage: Eukaryota; Metazoa; Arthropoda; Insecta; Thysanoptera; Thripidae
Exons: 2
Source: RefSeq, a predicted model, not a curated record
CUGAAGAAAGAUAAGAACCAAGAUAAGAUUAAAAUCAGAAAACCAGCAGACAGAUGGCAAUCAUAGCACAAGAAACACUGAACUUACUUGGCCCAUAAGAGCAUUUUGCCAAACGCGAAACAACAUAAGUGACAUCCUUCCAGCGUAGACAAAUCUGUUCAUCAGAAUAAUUGCAGUAAGUGGCAUAUGGAGAAACAGCAUGAAGGGGUUCAAGGGUCUAUCAACAACAAUUUCACUUACCAAUGUUUCCCAGCGGAAAAUAUUAGCAUAAAAACAUAGAAAGUUUUGUGAAACAUACAAACGUCCAUGAAUGAGGAUUUCUUUGGCAACAGCACAGGAAUAAUCUAAGGGGAGGAUGGAGGAGAGAGAGAGAACAUAAAUUGGAGAAAGAAAGCUUCGGUUUAAAAUAGACAAUACUGUGUUACGAACUAAAUGUCUUACCAACAAUAAGUCUUUCUUCUGGAGGAACAUCUUUAAAAAUUCUGUUGAAAUCUUUACUUCUGGAUUUAUACGUUGGGUAAAGAAUAUUGUACCAAGAUGA